Spodoptera frugiperda (fall armyworm) is the source of this 4155-nucleotide long non-coding RNA. RefSeq lists it as uncharacterized. NCBI's taxonomy places the organism in Eukaryota, Metazoa, Arthropoda, Insecta, Lepidoptera, Noctuidae. The transcript has 2 exons. The record is from RefSeq and is a predicted model, not a curated record.
UUCAGGCACUUAUUCAAUAGGUUGCACAUUAUUAAAUAAUUUAAUUAGACGAUUAUUGAAAUUUAUGCGAUUAUCAACAUUAUUAUUGUUAGAAAAAUAUCAAUAAUGAUCGCUUAUCAUAGUUGGCGAGUGAGUGUGGCUACAUACGUCGCGAAAGUCGCGACAGAAACGCCAGCACAGUCCUCAUCGUUUAGAUGCAGUUCAGAAAUAGACCACGGAAGCGUCCGACCGACCCGUUUGGUAUUUGUUCAACGUUGACCUAAAACAGUGCUCGCUUUGCUCGUUUGUUAUUCGCGUGGCCGACUAGCCCGUCGUGAAUAUUGUCAGAACUGUAUGUGUGUAGUUGUGUACCUAUAUCACAUCCGCUUACUCUACUCUCAGAUAGUACGCCUUAAUCUUUAAAGUCAUUUCAACGACAUUAAACACAUGAUUGAUUAGUGUCAGUGUCGUUGGUACGAUUAUAAAAAAAUAGUCAAUCAGCCUAUUGAUGAUGUCGUUUUUGCAAGAAUAGCACGAUUUCCAACAAUUGUGGUGUGAUCUCGUCACGCGGCAAAGUGCCAGGGCGGCCAGAGCCGUAUCACACGUGGAACAUGACGGAUGAAUGGGGGUCGUCAGAGUCGUCACGUGCGAACGCGAACCACACACCGCGGCCCAAACGCCAUCUGUACAAUUUACUGGAAUUUAUGAGCUGUGCAAAAGUAUCUGAUAUACUGUUUGUAAAGAUCUCAUAAAAUUAGACAAGUACCUAUUAAUAAUGACAUCAUGGUGUAGUUUGAGAGUAUUCGAGAAUUGGACCUACCUACUUUACUAACCUAUUUAUUUACAUUUUCUAAGUCUGGUCAGUGUUGUUAUAACCCUAUAAUGCAAGUGCAAUCAAAUUCAGACUCAACUAAGCUUUUUUUUUAAAAUAAAUACGUUAUUCUUAGCUGUUGUAUGUACAGUCCUACACACAGAAUAAAACAUAGCAGGAAUUAUAAAAAUUGGAAAUUUCAGCAUUGUUGUUGAACCAACAAUAGUGAUAAAAACUCACAUAAGUUGCGUGGUCUAAUCGCAGUAGGAAGUUAGGCCACCCACCACACCUCGGUAUAAUAGAAGUGAAUAGAAACUCAGUAUUUUCUAAUUACCACCAGAAAUCCUUCGCCCUGGCAAGUGUGUUAGUGUUAAGUAUGCAUAUUUGUAAAGUUUCUAGCAACAAAUAUCUCCAGCUAAAUCAAUUCCACAACAGUUUUAAAGUCUUCUGUGAGAUUGGUGGAGCGACCAUAAAUCAUGAACUUCGCCAUGCCUUAGGUUGUUAAAUACUGCAAAUGCUGAACGGAUUGUUUGGCAAAAGGAUUUUGUUUAUGGACAACACAAAACAGUACUUUCGGACUUGGAAAAUUUAGUUCAUUUUGUUACUGGGUCAUAAAAGCAUGUAUUAAUUAUUUUUACUCAUUCAGUCUGUAUUUAUUUAUCUGAUCUUAUGUAACAGCUAGUGGGCGUACGUGAGGAUUUGAGACAAAACAAUUUACUUGAAUAUUAUGCAUGUUGUUAAAACGUGUUUUAUUUGGCACUUUAUUCCACGGCAGCAGGAGCCAUAUUGUGCUUGAAGAUACAACGUUGCCAACGAAAGUUAUUUCCUACUGUCUCCGUGAGACAAUUUAACAAGUGUUACAGUUAAUUGUGUUGCGAGUUCCGCUCACUUGCCAAUAUCUAUAAAUUGUGAUUAAUCAGCAGACAUGAUAGUGUCGGUGUACUCGCAUUAUACCAGGGUCGCACGUCGUCAAGGUUACAAUUUACGAGGUUGGCUUAAAAGCUCUGUUAUGAUUUUUAUCUUUGCUCUGAGGUUGUUAAAAAUAUUUUAUUGGGAAGCGUAUUUGAAUCUCAUGCAAGAAGGAAAAUUAAUGAUUACUUGGAACAUAAAAAAUAAUGUUCGUACGUAAUGUUGAGGUGGCAGCCCCGAUGCUAAACAUAAACAGCUGUUAUGUUUCAGUUACAAAUAAAAUUGUUAACAUCUUUACGUAGUUGUGGCGGGUUCUCUGAAUUUAGAGAUUCUCACUAUACUGUUUUAAAUCGUAAAACUGCUUGAUUUAUGCCCUUUCAAUACAAACGUAAAUAAGUCACUAUUGUAAAUACUGUUAGUAAGAACAACUGUUUACAGGGACGAGAACUUUUAUCUCCCUUUGUGAUAGUUCAUUCACGUAUUUAUCUCGAGACUAAGUAUGCGAGCACCGCAGUUGAUAGUUCUAUAGUGGGAUUGAUACUUACUCAUUUAUUUAUAAAUAAAAAGAAUGUAGAGCCACUUGUGAACGAACCAAAAUAUUUUCACAUAAUUUAUGUGUAGAGAUUUGCGUCAGUGACUCUUAACGUUUUUAGAAAAUACCUAUACGCGUUUUCUUUCUACAUUUUAUCUACUACAAAUUCUAAACAUGCUAAAAUGAACCUUGCUGAUGUCAUUUUUAUGUUCGGCAAAAAUAAUGUUUAUAUCUUGAAGCAGGCGAUUAUAAGAGACGAGAUAACCAUUAUGCGGAUAGGAGCUCGAGUAAAAAUAGUUGGUACCUACUGGUAGAGCCAAUGAAAAAUUGUCACUUCGUGAAGUUUAUGACUGCAAAGCAAAAAAUUACUAAAUAAAUAGUCCUAAUUAAAAAAAAAACGUAUUGAACACGCAUGAGAGUAUAACAUUAUGAGAGAAGUGUUGUCUAAAUAAAUAUAUUAUUUUAUCCUACAAUACAAAAAUCGGAGACAGAAUAUGCUGUUAGCAGAAAACGCAAUAAGUCAUUCUGUCAUUUUUGUUGUUGUUUACUUUAGUUCGAUAUUACUUAUACCAUGGAUAAAAGAAAGAGACUGGAUUGGCCUUGUGGGCGGGCCACGCGUGCCGAGGGUGCGAGCCGGCGUACUGCGCGCUGUCAUAACGCUCAAAUGUCCAUACUUACCGGCUAGCAAUCGCUGUCAUGUUUUGACAGCGUACGUAUCUCCGCAAAAAUAUUAUAUUAUGCCGUCUUGCGCUAUUAUAACGUGUCGGAAAAGAAACCAGGUGUGUAGCAUAGCACGAGAAGGAAUUUCUUUUCACCGGUUUCCAACAGAUCCAGGUGUAACAAAAUUGUGGAUUGACACAACUGGUAGAAUUAAUUUUUUUUUUCAAGUUCCACCACACAGAUUAGAAACUGCGUAUAUUUUUAUCUCCACCAUAUUUAUACAGACAUUGGUCUUAAAAACUAAGCUUAUAUAAUAAUUAAUAGUAUAAUAAAUUAUGUAGCAAGUUACACGACCAGGUUUAAAACAAUUGAAAUGACAAGUGGUGGGAUUCAGGAACCCAAACUAGGAAAACCUGUACUAUGGGCUCCUGGAUUCCUACUAAAUGUAGCAUAUUUCGUUCGCAACAUUUCGAUGUUGAUAAUUACAUAAUAACAAAGUCAGGGAAAAGAAACUUAAAAUUAGGCGUUUAUCCGCACAAUAUCGCAAUGUGUAAUUCAGUAAGUAAACUGAUUUUAUUUUAGAAAAUUUUAAAUUAGUCCCUUUAAAUCAGUUUUUUUGUCUAAAAAUGGCGAUAUUUAAAAUAUCAUCUUUCGUAAAUUUAAAAAAUGAAAUAAUAUAACCAUGUUAUUUCAAUGUGUUCUGUACUUUAUACAGAUUAUUGUAAAUGUGAGAGCCCUGUAAUUAGCUAAAUUAGACUAGUAGAAUGCAUUUGUGUCAGCUUAGAGUUGUCAUGCUCACUCAAAGGUCUCACUGGCGGUGGCACGGGCAUUGGAUCGUUCGAUUCCCUGCAACAUGGUUGAGUUGGACGGUGCUGGUGUACGUGUCAUGUUGGUGAACGAGCGCUGUCAACUGGGACUGGUCAGCUCCAGACUGUAUUAAUUUUGUUGUUCUUAAGGUUUUUUUCUAUCGCUUUGACUGAAUAUUAGUUUUACAUUGUUCUCACAUAGUUCAAGCAAUCGAUGCAAAGAAAAGCAAUGUUAUCAAGAAUUGUAUUGUGAAUCUAAUUGAAAAAGAUCGAACGAACAGAUCUUCGAUCUUCUCCAUAGGAAUCUACACUUUGGAACGAGCAAAUAGCUUCACUAGAGGGCUGACCGACAGUUAUUAAUAUUAUUAUAUUUGCUUUGACGUUCAAAAGUGCCUAUGAUUUAUUUAUUUUUUACUGAUUUUUAACUUAUUGAGUAAUAAAAUUGGUUUUAAAAUUCA